RNAcentral lists this ribosomal RNA (253 nucleotides) under uncultured bacterium. RNAcentral's name for it is "partial 16S ribosomal RNA". It matches the Rfam family "Bacterial small subunit ribosomal RNA", at positions 524 to 776 of the family's 1533-position model. The record is from RNAcentral.
GACGGAGGGUGCUAGCGUUGUUCGGAAUCACUGGGCGUAAAGGGCGCGUAGGCGGCCUCAGGUGUCGGAUGUGAAAGCCCGGGGCUCAACCCCGGAGGUGCAUCCGAAACUCUGGGGCUGGAGGUCGGAAGAGGAGGGUGGAAUACCCAGUGUAGAGGUGAAAUUCGUAGAUAUUGGGUGGAACACCGGUGGCGAAGGCGGCGACCUGGUCCUUGACUGACGCUGAGGCGCGAAAGCGUGGGGAGCAAACAGG